RNAcentral lists this RNase MRP RNA (288 nucleotides) under Dufourea novaeangliae. Its description in RNAcentral is "RNase MRP". It matches the Rfam family "RNase MRP". Rfam says of the family: RNase MRP is an enzymatically active ribonucleoprotein with two distinct roles in eukaryotes. Lineage: Eukaryota; Metazoa; Arthropoda; Insecta; Hymenoptera; Halictidae. The record is from Rfam by way of RNAcentral.
AAGUUCCCCCGAGCAACACCACGGAGCCACAAUCGAAGUCCUUAGUGACUAUCCAUUUGCUCUGAGGAAAGUCCCUGGACCACGGGCAGAAAGUGCCGUAGCGUAAACGCUGCUAGCCUCUGCAGUCUUCUCGAACAUGGAAAGGAUGCCUUUUAAGGUUGAUCUUCGAGUUGUGCGAGAGCGUGUUGGUCCAAGAAAAGUAAUGUGUUGAAUAAGUUUAUCUCCUCUCUCCUAGGGUGGAGGAUUGAAGAACAGUUUCAACUAAACAGGGCUCUUUACGGGGGAACU